This 999-nucleotide ribosomal RNA is filed under the name uncultured Actinomycetes bacterium. RNAcentral's name for it is "bacterial SSU rRNA". It matches the Rfam family "Bacterial small subunit ribosomal RNA", at positions 509 to 1504 of the family's 1533-position model. The record is from RNAcentral. Lineage: Bacteria; Bacillati; Actinomycetota; Actinomycetes.
CAGCAGCCGCGGUAAUACGUAGGGAGCAAACGUUGUCCGGAUUUAUUGGGCGUAAAGGGCUCGUAGGCGGUUCAACAAGUCGGUCGUGAAAGCCCGGGGCUCAACCCCGGGAUGCCGGUCGAAACUGUUGUGACUAGAGUUCGGUAGAGGUGAGUGGAAUUCUCGGUGUAGCGGUGGAAUGCUCAGAUAUCGAGAGGAACACCAUUAGCGAAGGCGGCUCACUGGGCCGAUACUGACGCUGAGGAGCGAAAGCGUGGGGAGCAAACAGGAUUAGAUACCCUGGUAGUCCACGCCGUAAACGAUGAACACUAGGUGUGGCGGACUGAUUCAUGUCUGCUGCGCCGUAGCUAACGCAUUAAGUGUUCCGCCUGGGGAGUACGGUCGCAAGGCUAAAACUCAAAGGAAUUGACGGGAGCCCGCACAAGCGGCGGAGCAUGCGGCUUAAUUCGAUGGUACCCGAAGAACCUUACCUGGACUUGACAUAAUGGGUCUAGCUGUGGAAACACAAUGUGCUUAGGCGCUCAUCACAGGUGGUGCAUGGCUGUCGUCAGCUCGUGUCGUGAGAUGUUGGGUUAAGUCCCGCAACGAGCGCAACCCUUGUCCUAUGUUGCCAGCACGUAAUGGUGGGGACUCAUGGGAGACUGCCGGGGACAACUCGGAGGAAGGCGAGGACGACGUCAAGUCAUCAUGCCCCUUAUAUCCAGGGCUGCACGCAUGCUACAAUGGGCGGUACAGUGGGCCGCGAUCUCGCAAGAGUGAGCCAAUCCCUCAAAGCCGUCCCCAGUUCGGAUUGAAGUCUGCAACUGGACUUCAUGAAGCCGGAGUCGCUAGUAAUCGUGGAUCAGCUAUGCCACGGUGAAUACGUUCUCGGGGCUUGUACACACCGCCCGUCACAUCAGGAAAGUCGGUAACACCCGAAGUCAGUGGCCUAACCCCUCGGGGAUGGACUGCCUAAGGUGGGAUUGGUAACUGGGAUGAAGUCGUAACAAGGUAAGCGUA